ACGCUCGACACCUACUGGAGGCAGCAGUGAGGAAUAUUGGUCAAUGGGCGCUAGCCUGAACCAGCCAAGUAGCGUGAAGGAUGAAGGCUCUAUGGGUCGUAAACUUCUUUUAUAUAAGAAUAAAGUGCAGUAUGUAUACUGUUUUGUAUGUAUUAUAUGGAUAAGGAUCGGCUAACUCCGUGCCAGCAGCCACGGUAAUCUGAGGCGGGCUGGCAAGGC
RNAcentral lists this ribosomal RNA (219 nucleotides) under uncultured bacterium. Its description in RNAcentral is "partial 16S ribosomal RNA". It matches the Rfam family "Bacterial small subunit ribosomal RNA", at positions 328 to 539 of the family's 1533-position model. The record is from RNAcentral.